This is a long non-coding RNA of Macaca fascicularis (crab-eating macaque), 1999 nucleotides long. The record is from Ensembl. Lineage: Eukaryota; Metazoa; Chordata; Mammalia; Primates; Cercopithecidae.
UUUUUUUUUUGUUUUUGAGACGAAAUUUCUCUGGUUGUCCAGGCUGGAGUGCAAGUGGUGCUGGUCUGGAACUCUUGACCUCAGGUGAUCCACCCAUCUCGGCCUCCCAAAGUGCUGGGAUUACGUGAGCCACAGCACCCAGCCAGAGGUAUUCUUUAUUUUUCAGUCUCCCUCAGACCUGAAGGUCAGCUCUAAGAGGGCAGGGACCACGCAGCCCUGCUCACUGGCUGUACCCUUGUGCUUAGCAAUGCCUGACAUGUAUUUCUGUGCUCAAUUAUGUGCGCCAGGACCUGAGGUCACAGUGGUGAAGAUGACACUACACUUAACACCCUCCAAUUCAAACCUUUGCCAAAAUGUGCUCCCUAUCUCCGUAAAUAGCUCUUUACCAAGGCCUUUCUGAUAUCUCAGUAAGCUGUGCUGAUAUUCCACAUCAGCUCCCUCUUGAAAUCAGACCCCAAACCCUACCACUUCCCAUGAUCCUGCUAAAAGUUAAGUUGGUGGCCGGAGGCGGUGGCUUACGCCUGUAAUCCUAGCACUUUGGGAGGCCAAGGCGGGCGGAUCACAAGGUCAGGAGAUCGAGACCAUCCUGGCCAACAUGGUAAAACCCCGUCUCUACUAAAAAUAGAAAAAAAUAGCUGGGUGGCACGUGCCUGUAAUCCCAGCUACUCAGGAGGCUGAGGCAGGAGAAUUGCUUGAACCAGGGAGUCGGAGGUUGCAAUGACACGAGAUCGCACCACUGCACUCCAGCCUGGCGACAGAGCGAGUCUCCGUCACCAAAAAAAAAAAACCAACCAAACAAACAAACAAAAAAACCUGUUAAGUUGGACCCCUUACUCUUCCAAGGGCCUCCCCACUCAUUCAGAGCGAAUUCUGCAGUCUCCACGGCCCUCCCUGGUCUGGCCCCUGACCAUCUCCUGCCUCUCUCCUCCCAGCUGCUGUCCCCUUGGUACCGCCGGCCUCCUGAGGGCCAAGUUCCUGGGUUCUCGUAAUCAUCUUCUACCUGGUCUCUGUGACUCCGCCCUUAAGCGCACCCACCCCCUCCCAGCCCGCAGCUGCAGGGAUCCUUUAAAAACUGCCCGGGCCGGGCGCGGUGGCUCAAGCCUGUAAUCCCAGCACUUUGGGAGGCUGAGACGGGCGGAUCAUGAGGUCAGGAGAUCGAGACCAUCCUGGCUAACCCAGUGAAACCCCGUCUCUACUAAAAAAUACAAAAAAUUAGCCGGGCGUGUUGGCGGGCGCCUGUAGUCCCAGCCACGCGGGAGGCUGAGGCAGGAGAAUGGCGUGAACCCGGGAGGCGGAGCUUGCACUGAGCUGAGAUCCGGCCACUGCACUCCAGCCUGGGCGACGCAGCGAGACUCCGUCUCAAAAAAAAAAAAAAACUGCCCGGGACUCCUUUGCUCAAACCCUACCACGACUUCCCAUUUUUUUUUUUAGAUAAAAAAAAAAAACCAACAGGACCUAGCCCCGGGCUGCCUGUCAGACCUCAGCGAGCACGCCAGGCUCUGCACACCGUCUCUCGGAGCAGCCCCGAAGAGGCUGUUCCCACCAGGCUCUAGGACCUCCUCCGGGCAGCUCCCCGCCCUUCACCCCCAAUGAAGGCGCCUCUCCCCAUCACCCCGCAGCGCAGAGCGGUGCAGCAAGCCCAGCCCCGCCGCAUGGCCCGUGCUGGUCUCUGCUCUUCCACCGGCCGCGUGGCUACCGGCGCAGGACGCAUCUGCUGCCGCUUGGUCGCCCCCCCAGAAAUUUGUGCUUCAGGAAAGCGUCACUUUUGCCCACGGCGGCACGCCCGGUCCUAGCACAGCGCAGGCCCUUAACACACAGCACCGAGCGACGAGGCCCGGACUCAGAGGGUUUUGCUUGCCCAUUCGCAGAGCCCUCACCCGGAUCAAAAUCGUAGUCCGCGAUCGCAGCUCGGAGACUCCCGAGAAGUGCGCGCCCCCGCAGCGCCCCGACCCCCGCCCCUCACUAGACUCUGGACUCCUGGCUCCACAUCAGGUCACAC